RNAcentral lists this long non-coding RNA (1269 nucleotides) under Sus scrofa (pig). RNAcentral's name for it is "lncRNA (ENSSSCG00025077774.1)". The record is from RNAcentral. Lineage: Eukaryota; Metazoa; Chordata; Mammalia; Artiodactyla; Suidae.
ACUUGAUCCCCUGGAAAUGUCCUACUUCCUGCUCCUCCCCAGGCCCUGCCUAGUGGGACCACGUCAUUCUCUAUUCUCAUGGACCUCUAUACCCCUCCUCUCUGAGUUCAGGUAUUCUGGUACCUGCCCACAGCAGGGAGAACAACAGACCACAUGUCCAGUCCUUGCCCAGCCCAGAUUAUGCUAUAAAGACGUUUUUUGAAAGAGAAAGAAAGAGGUGACAUUCUGUGGAGGGAUCUUAAGGGACCAGGCCUAAUCACAUCAGGGACUCGAGGCCUCCCUUCCAGGCUUGGCAGGCAGAGUAUCUCAAGAUGAAGAGAAAGACAUUUUCCCUUGCAUGCUGGCUGCUGUUUCAUCUUCUACUACUCUUAGGAAACGCUGUAACUUCUAAUGCUAACACUACAGCCACCACCCUUGGACAAACCACAUCACCCAGGGGAACUAACACAACAGCUAUAACCUCCAGUGGGAACAUCACGACCACCUCCCUCGGACCAACCACACCGUCCAGGGAAACUAACACAACGGCUAUAACCUCCAGUGACACCAGCACAAGUACUGCCCCUCCAAGGAAAGAGGAGAACCUUAGCGGACAACUGACACCAUGGGAAGUUGUUCUGGUCACUCUGGCCUCGGUUGCAAUGGCUGUGAUUCUCGUCACCGGGCUUCUCUUCCAUUUCAGAAACUCUCCAGGCCUCAGAAACCUCUUCGAUGUUAAUCUCUUACCAACUGCAUGGCCAAGCCCCUACGGGACCAGGGCAACUGCAACUGACUUCAGAGGAGACCCUUCUCCCGUAGUCAUGGAGCUGACUGGGAGGCGGGAAUAGCACUGAGCUCCCUGAAGGCAGACGCAUCACCAAUGUGUGGGGGUGGGGGGCUGACCUGGGGGAGCCUGAGUAUUCCUCCUGUCCGAAGGACUGUCCCUCCCAGCUCCAUUUCAGCCUCUGACUGUCCUCCUUCCCACUUGGUUUUUCCAGACCAAAACAAGGAGGCUGUAGCUGUGAACGAAUUAUUAAAUAAACAAUUCUGAUAUACGUGGAACCAGACUCUCUAGGUGUAUUUAUGUAUUAUGGUGAACAGAGGUUCUUUAUACCCUAAAGACCCCUCUUCUCUUUGUUCUCCCAGCUCUCAAAUCCCCAGAGUGAAACCCAGACUUUAUAUGUGUCUCAUUUUCUUCCCCAUUCUGUCCUCAUUCCCCGGAGGCCUCUGGGCUGAUGAAUCAGGGAAUGGAAUCAGGGAAGAUGGAGAAGGCGAGUGCUACACAUCACA